CUCUUCGUCCCGCCCUUGCCUCGUCGCACUCAAGACGCAAUCCCCGUUUUCCAUUAACGCGGACCAAAAAUAUCCGAAACAAUCCCUUUCCCUCACCCCGUCUCCUCCCUCGUGGCAUCACCGCCGCCGCCGGCCACUAAUGGUCGCCGCCCGCCACAACUUCUCCCUUCCUCCCGGAGGCCUGCCCAAUCUCGAUCUCGUCGAUCUCCCAGGCGCUUCCUCCCGCAGGACAUGCUGAAUCAAACCCGCAAACAAGCCCUCUCGGCCAAACGCUCACCCCUGGAUCGAGCCUCCACGCCCCAAGCACUAGAUCGUGGACACCGCCACGCCGACUAUCCCUGAUUGAUUCUUCACGCUCGGUGACCAGGCCGGGGGCCAGAUCGAUUGGUGGCUGAAUCUUCAUCGACCGGUCCUUGGGGGUCUUCCUCUCCGCCACGCAGUUACCGGAUUUCGCCUACACCGCCACCACAAGCCGCCGCCUCCUCCAUCGGAGGCCCUUUCCUCUAGGCCGAGGGCAUCACGUGAUCGUUGCUGCCACGGCCACUUCUCUGGCUACCGGCGGCAUCACACCGGUGCCUAUCCGCCCCUGGGGCUCGUAAGCUUCUCCCCCUGCUGAAUACUAGAUUUCUUAUACCCUUUUGAUCUUCAAGUCGAGGUACCUUUUUCUAGGACUGUAUAAAGCGCCACAUGGUAUCAUUGUCUGUUGAGGAUGAGAGUGGGAUGAUCAAUCGAAUUGGCUGUUGGGCUGAAAAAGGAUAAGGCGUCAUUUAGAAUAGUACUAUCCCGAAAAUACUCCAACAAGUUGUUGAGAAGCUCUACAAACUUGUUAACGUUAUACAUGUUAUCAUUGCUUCAGUAUCAUGAAGCUCUACAAAGUAGUGAAUCUGAAAGUGUUUUCUCAAUAGUAAUAAUACGUCAUCAAUGAUGCUUUCGGUCAUUCCAGUUUUUGUGUUUAAAGUUUAAACAUGUUGACGAUUUUUCAAAGGAAUCACAAGAGAUCUCAUGCUUAUAAAGCUAAACGUAGAGUCAGAAAAGCGUCUUGAGGUAGAAGUUUGUAUGUGCAUUGCAGGGAUGCUAUCUGAAGAUUUUAAUUUUUACAGAUGAUGCUCAAUUUACAUGUUUAAACUGGAGCAGAGGUAAGAUUAGAAUUGGUUUACACUUUUGCUUAUUUCUCUACUUCUACAUGCUGGUGAUGGGUUUGGUUGACAUUUUAAGAGAAAAAUUGGUUGGUCUUUCAGACCAUACGCCUUUUAAGUUACCACUGUACCUAUGGUAGGUGUUGAGAAACAUCAGACCAAUAUGUCUGAAAAGAUUCGUUUCUACAGCAGUGCCAUGUGAAAUUAUACACGUUCAGUUUUCUCAGAAAGGAUUCGUAUCUUUUAGGAUUAUAUGUGGUAGUCUACCAAAUGAGAAUGUUGAUUACAAUUGGCAGUUUUCCUUACCAUUCUUCUUAACUGUAAUCUAAUUUGGUCAGCUACACAUUGAUUUAGGUGGUUACUUUUUUAGCCUAAAAAUGUAUGACAUAUUUUACAUGCAUCCGCCAAAAUAUAUUCCUUGAUCACAUAAAGUUCAUGUGCAUGUAUGUCUGUACUGUAUUCAAGGUGUGUUAUAACUCGGCCAGCUCAUGAAUAAUUGCUUACUAGGCCAUACUUUUGUCCCAGGAUCAUCAGAAAGAUGAUGUUACUUAUGAAUUGAAAGGAUAUCAUCAGGCACUUUGAGGUUGACUAAUAUUAUUCAGUUGCAUCGUAAAUUUGGAGAGAAAAAUGCAAGCGCUAUUGGAAUCAGCUGGAGCAAACUAUCUCAAUAUCGAGGAAUUUAUGCUGACGGUGGAAUAUGUCAUGAAUAUGUUUUUUUAUUUCAAGAAUCAGAUGGAGCUUGUGUUGUCAGCAUAAACGGGAGGCAUGAACUUCAGAGGAUCUAAAAAGAGGGAAACAGUCUUGGAAACAGCUUGAGGGCCCUUGUUCUAUUUGCAAUGGAACAAAGCAGGGUCCACUGCCUGAUGGUCCAUGCUUGUGGCUAAGAGCUUUGGUCAAGUAGCAGCGGCUAGCAACGAUUGGUGUGUUGAAGGUCGAACGUAAAGAGUAAUGGCAAUGAUUCGGAUAAUGGUUCCAGUGGAGGUAUUUCUAUUGUGAGAGCCCACAGAGUAUCUACUUGUUCCUUGGGGCACCGGGUCGAGACGGUCCAUUUUCUCGUUGUUUGAUUUGUUAACCAGUUUGGAUUUUGUAGUCAUGUCGAUAGUCAUUGUGCUUCAUACUCUGCAUUUCUUCUCCCUCUUGCAUUUGCACUUUUAGUUCCAGAUUUGUUUCUCUUGCAUUAUGUGGUAAUGAUUUGGGUAUCAUGAACAUUAUUCAAACUACUCGAUAGCUUUUCCAACGCCUGAAUCUACCAUCUAGGCCUUGUAAAAGAGUGAUGCAAGGGGAAUUUUUUAAUUGGCCUUUUUUUCCUACGAGGUGAAAAAUAGCAAUGCACUUCCAUUUCAGUUCAUUA
Long non-coding RNA from Lolium perenne, 2487 nucleotides. RefSeq lists it as uncharacterized. Lineage: Eukaryota; Viridiplantae; Streptophyta; Magnoliopsida; Poales; Poaceae. The record is from RefSeq and is a predicted model, not a curated record.